GAUGAAGAACGUAGCGAAAUGCGAUAAGUAAUGUGAAUUGCAGAAUUCAGUGAAUCAUCGAAUCUUUGAACGCACAUUGCGCCCAUUAGUAUUCUGGCGGGCAUGCCUGUUCGAGCGUCAUUACAACCCUCAGGCCCCCGGGCCUGGCGUUGGGGAUCGGCGGAGCCCCCCGUGGGCACACGCCGUCCCCCAAAUACAGUGGCGGUCCCGCCGCAGCUUCCAUCGCGUAGUAGCUAACACCUCGCGACUGGAGAGCGGCGCGGCCACGCCGUAAAACACCCAACUCUUCUGAAGUUGACCUCGAAUCAGGUAGGAAUACCCGCUGAACUUAAGCAUAUCAAUAAGCGGAGGA
This 352-nucleotide unclassified non-coding RNA is filed under the name soil metagenome. RNAcentral describes it as "partial contains 5.8S ribosomal RNA, internal transcribed spacer 2, and large subunit ribosomal RNA". The stretch from base 1 to 120 matches the Rfam family "5.8S ribosomal RNA", at positions 35 to 154 of the family's 154-position model. The record is from RNAcentral.